UGAGUAAUACAUCGGAACGUGUCUUCUAGUGGGGGAUAACUGCCCAAAGGGCAGCUAAUACCGCAUGAGACCUGAGGGUGAAAGCGGGGGAUCGCAAGACCUCGCGCUGGAAGAGCGGCCGAUGUCCGAUUAGCUAGUUGGUGAGGUAAAGGCUCACCAAGGCGACGAUCGGUAGCUGGUCUGAGAGGACGACCGGCCACACUGGGACUGAGACACGGCCCAG
RNAcentral lists this ribosomal RNA (223 nucleotides) under uncultured bacterium. RNAcentral describes it as "partial 16S ribosomal RNA". It matches the Rfam family "Bacterial small subunit ribosomal RNA", at positions 107 to 334 of the family's 1533-position model. The record is from RNAcentral.